AUUAAUAAAAAAAGAAAAACAUAAGUCGAUGAAAAGCGCCGUCCGGAUUUUUACAUGAAAAAUGUCGUCCCGAUGUAUAUACAUGAAAAAUGUCCACACUACAUUUUUUUAGGGGGUCCACACUACAUUUAUGACGACGGAUGUAUACCACAUGAAAAAUCUGUAUACGAUAUUUAUGAGCUGAACGUGAGGCAUCGAUCGGUCGACAUUGUGUUGCCAGACCUACCCUGUUCCUCUCUCCUCCUUCGUCCCCAAGGCUCUGAAUCCCCUGCAGUUUCCUCUGCAGAACUCUGCAUCCGAGUGUAACUGAAGAACUCUGCAUCCAAGUGUAAUCUGAAGAACUCUGCAUCCGAGUAUAAGUGUGUAACCGAUACAUUUCUUGCACCACUAUGCAGUCUAUGCUAGUGCGUGGCCAAGAUGGCCGUCGGUCCAACACGAUCUACCUACAGCGCCAGUGCACGACCAGUUCAUCGCCGGAAUUAAUCAACAUGAUCGUUGGACGUGUGCCUUAUGAUCGUCGAUCGAUCUGACUAAACAGUACAAGGCGAGGCAAGAAAGAACGAACAAACGAAACUAAUAGUAGAUCAUACACGUGAAGACGACGUGAUCACCAACACCUGGGAGAGUACAGAGACGCAAAGAGAGAAGAGCAUAUCGUAAUAACGAUCUAGCCACGACGUGCACGCACGCACGCGCGG
Molecule: long non-coding RNA, 698 nt
Filed under: Triticum aestivum (bread wheat)
Lineage: Eukaryota; Viridiplantae; Streptophyta; Magnoliopsida; Poales; Poaceae
Description: long non-coding RNA (TAES_LNC027318)
Source: RNAcentral